This 429-nucleotide ribosomal RNA is filed under the name Pseudomonadota bacterium. RNAcentral's name for it is "Proteobacteria bacterium partial 16S ribosomal RNA". It matches the Rfam family "Bacterial small subunit ribosomal RNA", at positions 355 to 776 of the family's 1533-position model. The record is from RNAcentral. Lineage: Bacteria; Pseudomonadati; Pseudomonadota.
UGGGGAAUAUUGGACAAUGGGCGAAAGCCUGAUCCAGCCAUGCCGCGUGUGUGAAGAAGGUCUUCGGAUUGUAAAGCACUUUAAGUUGGGAGGAAGGGCAGUAAGCGAAUACCUUGCUGUUUUGACGUUACCGACAGAAUAAGCACCGGCUAACUCUGUGCCAGCAGCCGCGGUAAUACAGAGGGUGCAAGCGUUAAUCGGAAUUACUGGGCGUAAAGCGCGCGUAGGUGGUUCGUUAAGUUGAAUGUGAAAGCCCCGGGCUCAACCUGGGAACUGCAUCCAAAGCUGGCGAGCUAGAGUAGGGCAGAGGGUGGUGGAAUUUCCUGUGGAGCGGUGAAAUGCGUAGAUAUAGGAAGGAACACCAGUGGCGAAGGCGACCACCUGGGCUCAUACUGACACUGAGGUGCGAAAGCGUGGGGAGCAAACAGG